UGGGGAAUCUUGCACAAUGGGGGAAACCCUGAUGCAGCGACGCCGCGUGAGCGAUGAAGGUUUUCGAAUCGUAAAGCUCUGUCCUAUGGGAAGAUAAUGACGGUACCAUGGGAGGAAGCCCCGGCUAACUACGUGCCAGCAGCCGCGGUAAUACGUAGGGGGCGAGCGUUGUCCGGAAUUACUGGGCGUAAAGGGUUCGCAGGCGGCAUGGCAAGUCCGAUGUAAAAGGCGAAGGCUCAACCUUCGUAAGCAUCGGAAACUGUCAAGCUUGAGUGAAGGAGAGGCAAGUGGAAUUCCUAGUGUAGCGGUGGAAUGCGUAGAUAUUAGGAGGAAUACCGGUGGCGAAGGCGACUUGCUGGACUUCAAUUGACGCUGAGGAACGAAAGCGUGGGUAGCAAACAGG
This 403-nucleotide ribosomal RNA is filed under the name Fusobacteriota bacterium. RNAcentral's name for it is "Fusobacteria bacterium partial 16S ribosomal RNA". It matches the Rfam family "Bacterial small subunit ribosomal RNA", at positions 355 to 776 of the family's 1533-position model. Lineage: Bacteria; Fusobacteriati; Fusobacteriota. The record is from RNAcentral.